RNAcentral lists this ribosomal RNA (120 nucleotides) under Pteropus alecto (black flying fox). The record is from RNAcentral. Lineage: Eukaryota; Metazoa; Chordata; Mammalia; Chiroptera; Pteropodidae.
GUGUAUGGCUAUGCCACCCUGAACACGCCGGAUCUCGUCUGAUCUUGGAAACUAAACAGGGUCGAGCCUGAUUAGUACUUGGUAUGGGAGACCACCUAAGAAUACUAUGUGCUAUAGGUG